Molecule: ribosomal RNA, 260 nt
Filed under: uncultured bacterium
Lineage: Bacteria
Description: partial 16S ribosomal RNA
Rfam family: Bacterial small subunit ribosomal RNA
Source: RNAcentral
UACGAAGGGUGCAAGCGUUGUUCGGAAUCAUUGGGCGUAAAGCGCGCGACAGGCGGAUCAGCAAGGUCAGAUGUGAAAUCUCGGAGCUCAACUCCGAAACUUGGCGUCUGAAACUGCUAGUCUAGAAUGUCGGAGGGGGCAGGGGAAUUUCACGUGUAGGGGUAAAAUCCGUAGAGAUGUGAAGGAACACCGGAGGCGAAGGCGCCUGCCUGGACGACUAGUUGACGCUGAAGGCGGCGAAAGCGUGGGGAGCAAACAGG